This 1111-nucleotide long non-coding RNA is filed under the name Homo sapiens (human). Its description in RNAcentral is "non-protein coding lnc-TEX9-6:8". Lineage: Eukaryota; Metazoa; Chordata; Mammalia; Primates; Hominidae. The record is from RNAcentral.
GCCAGAGAGGCUAGAACGAAGCAAGCAGAGGAAGGUGGGAUAAGCUGGCUUGCUGAGUUUUCUAACUUUCAUCUUUUUCCCAUGCUGGAUGCUUCCUGCCGUUGGACAUCAGACUCCAGGUUCUUCGGGGACUCUUGGACUUACACCAGCGUUUUGCCGGGGGCUCUGUCGGCUGCACUGUCAGUUUCCCUACUUUUGAGACUUUUGGACUCGGACUGAGCCACUACUGGCUUCCUUCUUUCUCAGCUUGGAGACAGCCUAUCAUGGACUUCGCAUUGUGAUCGUAUGGUGCUGUAAUGGAAAUCCUUUAUUUGUGACUCUUGUGGCCUUGUGUGAGAGUUUUUUCCUAAGAAAUACCUGAAACAAUAUUCUAUAUUGCAAAUACUAAUUUUUCGGUGUUCCUGUUUGCUCCGGACAUCUGUUUCUGAACUGUCAAUACAUACCAGAUGGACUACAGAGAACCAGAGAGAGUUUUAAAUGUCUUAUUACCAGAACUUAAAGACCUUUAAGCAGAUGCAUGUAAAAAAAUGAUGGUACUUGACAGUCCAGCUGCCACAAUGCUUUCAAAAAACUGGAUUUCUACUGGAUUCUUCAAGAUUACAAAGUUACAGCCUUAACAAACAGUUUGCUGAUAGGCUGUGGGGAGAGUGGAGAAAGAUGAGGUUGGACAAAAAAGGUAAGGUCUGAGUAUGAAGAAUCUUCCACACCAUAAGGCAGAACAAUGGGGAGCCAAUGAAAGGUUUUAAGCAAAGGUGUGAAAUAAACAGAACUUUAUAAAGACGACUAUGAUGAUAGUGUGGAGAACGAAUGUGGAAAGACUAGAAGCAGAAAAAGAGUUGCAGUAUCUCAAAUAAUUAUGAUCUGGAUUAAUGCAGUAGCAGUAGGAAUACACAAAAAUAGAGCAACCAAGGAGUCAGAACUGAUAGGAUCUGGUGACUGACUAGUUGUAAAGCAGGCUGAGGAAGAGUCAAGACUGACCUCUAGGUUUUUAGGUUACAUGAGUGAGUACCAUUCACUAAGAUAGUAUGAUAGGAUAAUGACCCCAGAAAUGUUCAUGUCUUAAUCUUUGAACCCCUGGAAAUUUGCAUGGCAUGGGACCAAAUCAAGGACC